CCUACGGGAGGCAGCAGUGGGGAAUAUUGGACAAUGGGGGGAACCCUGAUCCAGCCAUGCCGCGUGUGUGAAGAAGGCCCUCGGGUUGUAAAGCACUUUCAGUGAGGAAGAACGCCUGGUGGUUAAUACCCAUCAGGAAAGACAUCACUCACAGAAGAAGCACCGGCUAACUCCGUGCCAGCAGCCGCGGUAAUACGGAGGGUGCGAGCGUUAAUCGGAAUUACUGGGCGUAAAGCGCGCGUAGGUGGCUUGAUAAGCCGGUUGUGAAAGCCCCGGGCUCAACCUGGGAACGGCAUCCGGAACUGUCAAGCUAGAGUGCAGGAGAGGAAGGUAGAAUUCCCGGUGUAGAGGUGAAAUGCGUAGAGAUCGGGAGGAAUACCAGUGGCGAAGGAGGCCUUCUGGACUGACACUGACACUGAGGUGCGAAAGCGUGGGUAGCAAACAGGAUUAGAUACCCUAGUAGUC
RNAcentral lists this ribosomal RNA (465 nucleotides) under Vreelandella stevensii. Its description in RNAcentral is "partial 16S ribosomal RNA". It matches the Rfam family "Bacterial small subunit ribosomal RNA", at positions 338 to 795 of the family's 1533-position model. The record is from RNAcentral. Lineage: Bacteria; Pseudomonadati; Pseudomonadota; Gammaproteobacteria; Oceanospirillales; Halomonadaceae.